This 253-nucleotide ribosomal RNA is filed under the name uncultured bacterium. RNAcentral describes it as "partial 16S ribosomal RNA". It matches the Rfam family "Bacterial small subunit ribosomal RNA", at positions 524 to 776 of the family's 1533-position model. The record is from RNAcentral.
UACAGAGGUCUCAAGCGUUGUUCGGAUUCAUUGGGCGUAAAGGGUGCGUAGGCGGCGCGGUAAGUCGGGUGUGAAAUCUCGGAGCUUAACUCCGAAACUGCAUUUGAUACUGCGGUGCUUGAGGACUGGAGAGGAGACUGGAAUUCAUGGUGUAGCAGUGAAAUGCGUAGAGAUCAUGAGGAAGACCAGUGGCGAAGGCGGGUCUCUGGACAGUACCUGACACUGAGACACGAAGGCCAGGGGAGCAAACGGG